This is a long non-coding RNA of Canis lupus familiaris (dog), 1354 nucleotides long. RefSeq lists it as uncharacterized. Lineage: Eukaryota; Metazoa; Chordata; Mammalia; Carnivora; Canidae. The record is from RefSeq and is a predicted model, not a curated record. The transcript has 3 exons.
AACCUGCCGCAGUCUUCUCUGCCCGGCCCUGCUAUCAGCAAAGGGACAUGGGCUCCGCCUCGUGAGGGAGGAGAGUCAAAAUGUUUUCAUCCUUUACAAAAUAAAGGAUGUUUCUCCUUGUUUCUCUUUGUGUAGCAAGAAAGAGUGAGCACAGUCCCCCCAGUCCCCGGGCCUCGGGGGAAGGAGCCCGGGCAGGACCUGAGCCUCCUGCCAUGGCCAGUGCAAGCAUCCAGCCACGUGAUCCGCCCCCCCCAUGCUCGGGGCACCCCUCACUGCACCCUGUGGGGUGUAACGAAACGCUGGUGAAGAAGCUUACUCAUCCCCACACCCCAGGCCAAAUCUCCAAAUGGAUGGACAGAGACCCGGACCUCCAUGCACGUGAAACCCAAAGAAUCCCUCAUCUCAGGGAACAUGAAAGAUGGGGCAUCAUCGAGAGUUUCCUCAACCUGUGCAGACGUUUCGUUCUGGAGCAGGCCAGGGCGGGCCAGCCUCACUCAGGGCGGCACUGGGCCCCCCUGCGGCACCCAGCCCAGAGCCGAGCUGCCCGCUGCCCGCGUCAGUAGUCCGAGCCCUCGGGAUGCUGAGAACACGCCUAAGGAAGAAGCGGCAGCCCAAGGGGAAGCUGGAGUUCAGCACUUUCAGUGCCCGCCCUGAAGCCACAAUGAAGGGAAGCACAGCCCGGCUUCAACAUUAAACCAAGGCGUCGCCAGUGGCCACUGGGCCUGUGGUGCUGAAGGGUGGGCACUUGGCGCCUUCCUCUCGGAAGUGGGGGCUCCCAGGAUCUGAGGUCAACGGGUGAUAGGAUCUCUGUCUUCUGGAAGCUUCAAUUCUCCCUGGGAUGAGACAGACGCCUGCAUGGCAAAUCGCUGGAAAUGGGAACAGCAGUGCGCAGCUCUGAGGAGCUUUGAGGGGCGCAGGCUUGAGGAGCGAAACGGCCUGGCCAGCACGCAGAAGGCCCCUCGGCCCACCUGAGACCAGUCCUCUUCCUGGAGGUGACAUCAAGGUGCCUAAAUACUGGGGGCUCCCGCCCACAGCCCCCACCUGUUAGAGGGGCAGGAUUAGUGCCCGUGUCCUCAGACUCCGGAGAGCAGGUGGUGGCAGGGGAAUGACAGUGGCAUAUGAAGAGGCCGGAGGCAGCUGCAGCUCUUGGGACAGCCCUGCAAUGGCUUCUGGGAGUGCAGGUCUCCGGAAGGGGUGCCAGGUUGUGGCCUUGGACCCCUCCUCUAAAUGGACCAUCCUGGGGAUCCCUGGGUGGCGCAGCGGUUUGGCGCCUGCCUUUGGCCCAGGGCGCGAUCCUGGAGACCCGGGAUCGAAUCCCACAUCGGGCUGCCGGUGCAUGGAGCCUGCUUCUCCC